UACGAAGGGUGCAAGCGUUACUCGGAAUUACUGGGCGUAAAGCGUGCGUAGGUGGUUGUUUAAGUCUGUUGUGAAAGCCCUGGGCUCAACCUGGGAAUUGCAGUGGAUACUGGGCGACUAGAGUGUGGUAGAGGAUAGUGGAAUUUCCGGUGUAGCAGUGAAAUGCGUAGAGAUCGGAAGGAACAUCUGUGGCGAAGGCGACUAUCUGGGCCAACACUGACACUGAGGCACGAAAGCGUGGGGAGCAAACAGG
This 253-nucleotide ribosomal RNA is filed under the name uncultured bacterium. Its description in RNAcentral is "partial 16S ribosomal RNA". It matches the Rfam family "Bacterial small subunit ribosomal RNA", at positions 524 to 776 of the family's 1533-position model. The record is from RNAcentral.